GAAGUAAAAGUCGUAACAAGGUUUCCGUAGGUGAACCUGCGGAAGGAUCAUUAUCGAGAGAGGCGUCAGCCUCGGGGGCUUCGGCCCCCAACUCUUCACCCCGUGGCUACACGAUCCGUGAUGCUUUGGCGGUUUAAAUCGCCGCCGAAACCCCAAAACUCUGAUAUCAUGUGUGGUCCGAGUCAUAUUCAAUAACUAAAACUUUCAACAACGGAUCUCUUGGUUCUGGCAUCGAUGAAGAACGCAGCGAAAUGCGAUAAGUAAUGUGAAUUGCAGAAUUCAGUGAAUCAUCGAAUCUUUGAACGCACAUUGCGCCCCUUGGUAUUCCGAGGGGCAUACCUGUUCGAGCGUCAUUACACCCCUCAAGCUUGGCUUGGUGUUGGGCUUGCGUCCUCCGGGACGGGCCCGAAUGGCAGUGGCGGUCCGACGUAGACUUCAAGCGCAGUGAAAUCCGAUCGCUUGGAAGGCUCGCCGGGCCCUCGCCAGACAACCCAUAUCAUUCAAACCGUUUGACCUCGGAUCAGGU
Molecule: ribosomal RNA, 526 nt
Filed under: Lobaria pulmonaria var. meridionalis
Lineage: Eukaryota; Fungi; Ascomycota; Lecanoromycetes; Peltigerales; Lobariaceae
Description: eukaryotic LSU rRNA
Rfam family: 5.8S ribosomal RNA (bases 200-353)
Source: RNAcentral